UGUCGCUGUAAUGUUUCCGGUUGCCUAAAGACCUCGUUCACUACGUUCCGCCGCUUGGGAAAGGGUCAUGGGGGAAAACUUUGUUUUGGACUCUACCUGUAAAUUCUGAUCACAGUUGAGGCAUUCAUCCCUGGUCAACAGACAAGACCAAUUCAGGGUGGGAUGAAGGAGAGGGCACUCCCUUUCGCAUGAUGGACUGACAUAGCCAGGAUCUGUGACCUCUGACUGGGCCCUGCUCUGCUCCCUGUUGCUGCAGAUCACCUCCACAGCCACAGCUGCCUGUAAAACAUUUCAAAACGAAGAAAGGGAAGACUGGUGUGUGGGGGUGGUACUGCACAGUCCCCGGUUAAAGCAAGUGCUCGUCAGGAUGAGUGAUGGGACUAUUAACAGAAGACUCUUCGCCCACUGUUUUUGCUCUUGAGAGGCAACUGAGAGCUCAAGAGUGCCUGCCCCGUGAAUCGAGUGAAUCAUUUCCAGUUUCGGGCCAUUCUUCUGCAAUUUCAGCUGGGGCCGAAGACUUCCCAGAGGGUGGUAAAAGAAUAGGGUUGUCUUCACAUGGGAGCUGGAUGUCAAAAUUGUCUUCAGAAGAGGGCUGACUCUCCUCUAACUUCACACUGAGUGUGCUCUCAUGGAGGCUCAAGAGAUGUACCCUGUAAGACGAUUGGACUGGCAACUCCAAAUUGGGAGACACGUAGGGAAUGAUGCACUGACUUGGGAUGGCUGAAAGCCCUCAUUUUAAAGGCAUAAAAGAAUCUGGGUGUGUGGUUCUGUUGUAAAGCAAACUGCUGAAAUCGCCGCCGUCUCCUUGCAUUCUGCCAAGCCACGAACAUUUUAUACGAUGGAAAAUGCGCUAAGUUUAUGGUGCAAUGGUAGGAUUCUUUUUUAAUAUGAUUCUUAUUUUAAAUGGGGAGUACACAGUGCUCUUUGUCUAACCAACACGGGCAGCAAUUAUUUUUGUAAAAUACAAGCAACCCAAUUGGUACCCAAUACUUGGUCAGUCAAGGGUCACAUACUCACGUAACAGUUCCACGCCCGUUAGCAGGUCCGUCGUAGGUAGGAGAGUUCUGAACCCUUCUCAAAGGAUUCACGGCAGACGCCACAUUCAAAGACCGAGACAAACAGCACUUAGAAGCUGGCAUGCUCUGUGUUGACAUUUCAUGAGACCUCUGCCUCUUAUUAUAGUCAAUACUCAGCUCAACCUCAUUCUUUGUUAUUCAUUCCUGAAUAUGUUAGAAGCCCAUGGAUCUAAAACGUUGUGCAGAACUCUUGGUUAUUUCAAUUAAAUUUAAUCUUUAAGGGUUUAACUUGUAACU
Molecule: long non-coding RNA, 1313 nt
Organism: Lepisosteus oculatus (spotted gar)
Lineage: Eukaryota; Metazoa; Chordata; Actinopteri; Semionotiformes; Lepisosteidae
Source: RefSeq, a predicted model, not a curated record